RNAcentral lists this ribosomal RNA (253 nucleotides) under uncultured bacterium. RNAcentral describes it as "partial 16S ribosomal RNA". It matches the Rfam family "Bacterial small subunit ribosomal RNA", at positions 524 to 776 of the family's 1533-position model. The record is from RNAcentral.
UACGAGGGAUGCAAGCGUUAUCCGGAAUUAUUGGGCGUAAAGCGUCCGCAGGUGGCUUUGUAAGUCUGUCGUUAAAGAAUGGAGCUUAACUCCAUACAGGCGAUGGAAACUACAAGGCUAGAGUUUGGUAGGGGUCACGGGAAUUCUUAGUGUAGCGGUGAAAUGCGUAGAUAUUAAGAAGAACACCAGCGGCGAAAGCGCGUGACUGGGCCAGUACUGACACUCAUGGACGAAAGCUAGGGGAGCGAAAGGG